RNAcentral lists this ribosomal RNA (305 nucleotides) under uncultured bacterium. RNAcentral describes it as "bacterial SSU rRNA". It matches the Rfam family "Bacterial small subunit ribosomal RNA", at positions 333 to 635 of the family's 1533-position model. The record is from RNAcentral.
CCUUGCCUACGGGGGGCAGCAGUGAGGAAUAUUGGUCAAUGGCCGCAGGGCUGAACCAGCCAAGUCGCGUGAGGGAUGACGGUCCUAUGGAUUGUAAACUUCUUUUGUCAGGGAGCAAUUGGGUCCACGCGUGGGCUUAGCGAGAGUACCUGAAGAAAAAGCAUCGGCUAACUCCGUGCCAGCAGCCGCGGUAAUACGGAGGAUGCGAGCGUUAUCCGGAUUUAUUGGGUUUAAAGGGUGCGUAGGCGGAAUAUCAAGUCAGCGGUAAAAAUUCGGGGCUCAACCCCGUCGUGCCGUUGAAACUG